Toxorhynchites rutilus septentrionalis is the source of this 619-nucleotide long non-coding RNA. RefSeq lists it as uncharacterized. The record is from RefSeq and is a predicted model, not a curated record. NCBI's taxonomy places the organism in Eukaryota, Metazoa, Arthropoda, Insecta, Diptera, Culicidae. The transcript is spliced from 3 exons.
CUUUGAAGUACCAUUAUUACCCAUCCUGUCUUAUUCAUCAUGCUGUGUUCCUUGGUCGGCCUGUAAAAAAAACAUUCAAAUGAUAUUCUAUGUCAUCUUCCAUCCUGCAAUAAACACGAUCCUGUUCUAAAGGCUCUUCCCUUCCUGUGGUACCGGACCCAAACGUUUGUUAUUUUUUGUUCCUCUCUCUCUGUGCGAAAACUAUUCCGCUUAGAGCAAAUCCAUGUUUUGACAUGCAACUAAAUCACUCCGGAAUGCGGCAAAAAGCAGUAACAAAACCUAACCGAAAACUUAGGACCGAUAAAACAGGCAACGAUUUCCUCUUUGAGGGUACCCAACUGCGGUAAGGAGAUAAGGCCGGCCAGGUAAUGUUCAAGAAAUCAUUCGUUAAGAAGAGGAGCAAAAAAACAUCCAACAGGUAGAGGAGUUCUCCAUGACCCAAUGGCCCGACGCAUGAAAGACGCGAACAAUGGCCUACUCUGGAAUUACUUUAUUGUCCGCUUUUUGGAGGUUGUGUUAUGUGUGUGCGUCUCUUUCUUUAUCUCUCAGAUGAUUUCGGAAGGCUGUGUGCUUCCCCGAACCAGCUCAUCUUCUUUUCGAGAACUCCACUCUGAAGUCA